CUUAAUGGCAUUUCAGUUUCUUGAGGUUGUUGAGUUUAAUUUUCAUUAGUAAUUUCAGGAUCCUGAUUGGGGAGAUUUUCGAGAUUGUCUUGAACUGGAGUCGUUUGAUCCCUGUCAGGAAUGUGAACAUUCUGACCAAGAUCAACAACUUGUGUGAAAGACACAUGUUCUUCCUCAAAAACAAAAUCUCUAAAAACUUUAUCUCCCCACCCCCCAAACUCAAUAUCCUCACAGAACCUAGCAUUACCCGUUUCAAAAAUAGUUCGUGAUGUGGGAUCAUAAAACUUAAAACCCC
This 295-nucleotide long non-coding RNA is filed under the name Nicotiana benthamiana. RNAcentral's name for it is "long non-coding RNA (NBEN_LNC034549)". The record is from RNAcentral. Lineage: Eukaryota; Viridiplantae; Streptophyta; Magnoliopsida; Solanales; Solanaceae.